Molecule: ribosomal RNA, 253 nt
Filed under: uncultured bacterium
Lineage: Bacteria
Description: partial 16S ribosomal RNA
Rfam family: Bacterial small subunit ribosomal RNA
Source: RNAcentral
UACGGAGGGUGCAAGCGUUAAUCGGAAUUACUGGGCGUAAAGCGUGCGCAGGCGGUUUGUUAAGUCUGCUGUGAAAUCCCCGAGCUCAACUUGGGAAUUGCAGUGGAUACUGGCAGGCUGGAGUAUGGUAGAGGAAGGUGGAAUUCCCGGUGUAGCAGUGAAAUGCGUAGAGAUCGGGAGGAACACCAGUGGCGAAGGCGGCCUUCUGGACCAGCACUGACACUGAGGCACGAAAGCGUGGGGAGCGAACAGG